AAUGAACGCUGGCGGCGCGCCUAAUACAUGCAAGUCGAGCGAGAAGACGUAGCAAUACGUUUGUAAAGCGGCGAACGGGUGAGGAAUACAUGGGUAACCUACCCUCGAGUGGGGAAUAACUAGCCGAAAGGUUAGCUAAUACCGCGUACGCUUCUUGGAUUUCGGUUCAGGGAGGAAAGCGAUGCCGAGGGUAUCGCGCUCUUGGAUGGGCUCAUGUCCUAUCAGCUUGNGGUGAGGUAACGGCUCACCAAGGCUUCGACGGGUAGCUGGUCUGAGAGGACGAUCAGCCACACUGGCACUGCGACACGGGCCAGACUCCUACGGGAGCAGCAGUAAGGAAUAUUGCGCAAUGGGCGAAAGCCUGACGCAGCGACGCCGCGGUGGGGGA
RNAcentral lists this ribosomal RNA (388 nucleotides) under uncultured bacterium. RNAcentral describes it as "bacterial SSU rRNA". It matches the Rfam family "Bacterial small subunit ribosomal RNA", at positions 29 to 408 of the family's 1533-position model. The record is from RNAcentral.